GACGAACGCUGGCGGCGUGCUUAACACAUGCAAGUCGAACGGAAAGGCCCUGCUUGCAGGGUGCUCGAGUGGCGAACGGGUGAGUAACACGUGGGUGAUCUGCCCCUUACUUUGGGAUAAGCCUGGGAAACUGGUCUAAUACUGGAUAGGACCAUGCUGUAGGUGGUGUGGUGGAAAGAUUAGUUUCGGUAAGGGAUGAGCUCGCGGCCUAUCAGCUUGUUGGUGGGGUAAUGGCCUACCAAGGCGUCGACGGGUAGCCGGCCUGAGAGGGUGGACGGCCACAUUGGGACUGAGAUACGGCCCAGACUCCUACGGGAGGCAGCAGUGGGGAAUAUUGCACAAUGGGCGCAAGCCUGAUGCAGCGACGCCGCGUGGGGGAUGACGGCCUUCGGGUUGUAAACUCCUUUCAGCCAUGACGAAGCCCUUGUGGUGACGGUAGUGGUAGAAGAAGCACCGGCUAACUACGUG
Molecule: ribosomal RNA, 468 nt
Filed under: uncultured bacterium
Lineage: Bacteria
Description: partial 16S ribosomal RNA
Rfam family: Bacterial small subunit ribosomal RNA
Source: RNAcentral